GUGAGAAUCUAGAAUUAAUAGUGGUAAUCUUCUUAACUAAAUAAAUCUUCUGAGCUAGACUCGCGGCAAGACGCACGCAAAUAUAAUCCUAAUCCCUAAAUCCCUUUCUUUAACUUUUCUUUUCAUUUUUUUUUCCCUUCUCUUCUCCGUCUUUCCCUUCCAACGUUACGGCUCGGUUUUGCAAUUAGCAACUCUCUCUGCUUUCAGUUUCAGCAUCCGCUUCCUCUACGCCGAUUACAAAAUGAACUCAGGCAGGCCAAAGAAGAUUCCUCUAGAAGGCUUGGUACUUGAAUCUAUUAUGUCUCCUCGUAGAUCUGCAUCUUUCCGGAGGCCAAAGGAUGAACUAGGCAGUUGGUCGACGCUUGUCAAGAGGCAUCGCUUCCUCUUGGUUGCCCUCGGUCUACUUGUUAUCCUCUGCACCGUUUAUCUUUACUUUGCUAUUACUUUAGGGGCAGGAGAUUCCUGUUCUGGAUUGAGUGGAGAUGCGAAAGUUACUUGCCAAAUGGAACAUGUUAAGGAUUUCAUGGCCAGGCGUAAACUCAAGCUUCUGUGAUAUUGCGGACACAGUUAUAAGGCAUUCUUUUUUGAUAUUGCAACACAAUUACAAGGCAUUCUUUUUCCUGUGACAGCAGGUAUAGAUGAACCGAAGAUUUGUAUACAUAUUGUUAUUUGUUAACCUCUGUUUGUGAAGCAAGAUGUACAAUACGUGUAGAAAGCAAUUUUUUUGGAUGCAAUUAUGUUAAUGUUGGUUGCUUAUUAUUAGUACAUAAAAUAUACAUUUUUAAGCAGUGUACUGUAGUAGCCAAAUGAAGUUGAGCCUACCCAAUGUUCAUGACUGGCUGAUUCUAAACCUGAUUUCUCAUUCUAUCUGAUAAGGUCGGUUCAUAUUUCAGUAAGAGCCUUUAUCAUGUAUCUAGUAUUGUUGAGGUGGAAAACUUUGUAUGAUUCUUUCAAUGCUGAUACUAAUCGAUUGCUACUUUUACUUUUUUA
Molecule: non-coding RNA, 990 nt
Organism: Arachis ipaensis
Lineage: Eukaryota; Viridiplantae; Streptophyta; Magnoliopsida; Fabales; Fabaceae
Source: RefSeq, a predicted model, not a curated record